CCUGGAAGUCUGAAAUCAGAGUGCUAGUGUGGUUGGCUUCUAGUGAGGGCUCUUUUGCUGGCUUGCAGACAGCUGCCUGCUCAGUAAGUCUUCACAUGUUGAGGAAAGAGAGAAACAGAGAUAGCAAGCUCUCUGGUCUGUCUUUCUCCUUUUUUAUGAGACAAGGAUCUCGCUCUGUUGCCUACACUGGAUGCAAUAGCACCAUCCAGGCUCACUGCAACCUCUGCCUCCUGGUUUCAAGCGACUCUCCUGCCUCAGUCUCCCAAGUAGCUGGGACUACAGGAAAUACCUCUGAGUAACCGGAAGAAGAGGACAACUCACAUCAUAAGUCCUUUAUACCUUCCAUGAAGAAAAGCAGGAUGCAUGAUGCCUGAGCCCUGCCAGGCAACCACCAUGCCCCAUAGAGGUCAUGACCACAGGACUUAAUCUGGGAAGAAGAAGCAACAGGGCGAGCCUCACCUUACUUAUUGGAUGCCGGAAUAGAACAAAAGGCAGGGUAAAGAGAAUCCUCUCUCUCUCUGCUAGACUGUUUUUUGAGCUGGCACAUCCAUCUUCUUCUAAACUUAGACUGGAAUAUACACUGUUGGCUCUCCUGGUUCUCCAGCCUUCGAACUCAGACUGGAACUACAACAUCAGCUCUCCUCCAGGUGACGUAUGGCAGAUUAGAGGACAUCUCGGCUUUCAUAUCAUGUGAACAAAUUUCUUACAAAUAAAUGAAUCUCU
Non-coding RNA from Callithrix jacchus (white-tufted-ear marmoset), 723 nucleotides. Lineage: Eukaryota; Metazoa; Chordata; Mammalia; Primates; Cebidae. The record is from RefSeq and is a predicted model, not a curated record.